UUAUCUUACUAAUAAAAUGCCUAGAAUCAAUUAAUUUUUUAAAUAAAAUAAAUUAUUUCUGUAACGCCCCAAUAGUCCCACAUCGGAUGGGAUACUGAUUUUGAUCAGUUUAUAUGAGACCUACACGCUAAUAGUAAUAAUAAUCGGACUUAAGCAUUUUGGGCCGGUGAUUUAGGCCCAACGAAUUAUUAUUGCUAGCGGGUCGAGUCGUUGCAAUUGGUAUCAGAGCCGAAUACCAGCCGGAAGUGUGAGAACUAAGUGCUAUGCGGGACAAAGUGCUACACCAACGGGUUUGGUGGGAGCCACCUCUUGAACCCGUAGGAGCCACCUCUAGAAUCUCACAUCGCCUGGUAGUGAUUCUGGUCUGUCUGUCUGUGAUCUAGUUUGGGCCCGACGAGGACGUCAGGGUCUAAACAGGGGAUGAGAUACUGAUUUCGAUCAGUUUAUAUGAGACCUACACGCUAAUAGUAAUAACUGGGCUUAAGCAUUUUGAGCCGGUGGUUUGGGCCCAACGAGUUAUUGUUGCUAGCGGGUCGGAUCGUUGCAAUUUCGUAUCUAAUAUAUAUUAUCCUACUAAUAUAUCAU
RNAcentral lists this long non-coding RNA (585 nucleotides) under Ananas comosus (pineapple). RNAcentral's name for it is "long non-coding RNA (ACOM_LNC017196)". The record is from RNAcentral. Lineage: Eukaryota; Viridiplantae; Streptophyta; Magnoliopsida; Poales; Bromeliaceae.